RNAcentral lists this ribosomal RNA (785 nucleotides) under uncultured Actinomycetes bacterium. Its description in RNAcentral is "bacterial SSU rRNA". It matches the Rfam family "Bacterial small subunit ribosomal RNA", at positions 74 to 837 of the family's 1533-position model. The record is from RNAcentral. Lineage: Bacteria; Bacillati; Actinomycetota; Actinomycetes.
UCUCCUUCGGGGGGCGAGUAGAGUGGCGCACGGGUGAGUAACACGUAGGUAAUCUACCUUUGGAUUGGGAAUAACAACCGGAAACGGUUGCUAAUACCGAAUAAUGCAGCGGCACCUAAUGGUGACAGUUGUUAAAGCGGGGGAUCGCAAGACCUCGCGUCUGAAGAGGAGCCUGCGGCAGAUUAGCUAGUUGGUAAGGUAACGGCUUACCAAGGCUAUGAUCUGUAGCCGGCCUGAGAGGGCGGUCGGCCACACUGACACUGACAUACGGGUCAGACUCCUACGGGAGGCAGCAGUCGGGAAUUUUGGGCAAUGGGCGAAAGCCUGACCCAGCAACGCCGCGUGAAGGAUGAAAUCCUUCGGGAUGUAAACUUCGCAAGAACGGGAAGAAUAAGUAAGGGUUAAUAUCCCUUAUGAUGACGGUACUGUUUGUAAGCUCCGGCUAACUCCGUGCCAGCAGCCGCGGUAAUACGGGGGGAGCAAGCGUUGUUCGGAUUUACUGGGCGUAAAGGGCGCGUAGGCGGCCACCGCAAGUCGACUGUGAAAUCUCCGGGCUUAACCCGGAAAGGUCAGCCGAUACUGCGGGGCUAGAGUGCAGAAGGGGCAACUGGAAUUCUCGGUGUAGCGGUGAAAUGCGUAGAUAUCGAGAGGAACACCUGCGGCGAAGGCGGGUUGCUGGGCUGACACUGACGCUGAUGUGCGAAAGCUAGGGGAGCGAACGGGAUUAGAUACCCCGGUAGUCCUAGCCUUAAACGAUGAAUGCUUGGUGUCUGGGGUUUUAUAGU